RNAcentral lists this ribosomal RNA (253 nucleotides) under uncultured bacterium. RNAcentral describes it as "partial 16S ribosomal RNA". It matches the Rfam family "Bacterial small subunit ribosomal RNA", at positions 524 to 776 of the family's 1533-position model. The record is from RNAcentral.
UACGAAGGAGGCUAGCGUUGCUCGGAAUCACUGGGCGUAAAGCGCACGUAGGCGGACGAUUAAGUCAGAGGUGAAAGCCUGGAGCUCAACUCCAGAACUGCCUUUGAUACUGGUUGUCUUGAGUUCGGAAGAGGUUGGUGGAACUGCGAGUGUAGAGGUGAAAUUCGUAGAUAUUCGCAAGAACACCGGUGGCGAAGGCGGCCAACUGGUCCGAUACUGACGCUGAGGUGCGAAAGCGUGGGGAUCAAACAGG